RNAcentral lists this ribosomal RNA (492 nucleotides) under uncultured bacterium. RNAcentral's name for it is "partial 16S ribosomal RNA". It matches the Rfam family "Bacterial small subunit ribosomal RNA", at positions 29 to 507 of the family's 1533-position model. The record is from RNAcentral.
AGUGAACGCUGGCGGUAGGCCUAACACAUGCAAGUCGAACGGCAGCACAGUAAGAGCUUGUUCUUACGGGUGGCGAGUGGCGGACGGGUGCGGAAUACAUCGGAAUCUACUUUUUCGUGGGGGAUAACGCAGGGAAACUUACGCUAAUACCGCAGACGACCUACGGGUGAAAGCAGGGGAUCUUAGGACCUCGCACGAUCGAAUGAGCCGAUGUCGGAUUAGCGAGUUGGCGGGGUAAAGGCCCACCAAGGCGACGAUCCGUAGCUGGUCUGAGAGGAUGAUCAGCCACACUGGAACUGAGACACGGUCCAGACUCCUACGGGAGGCAGCAGUGGGGAAUAUUGGACAAUGGGCGAAAGCCUGAUCCAGCCAUGCCGCGUGGGUGAAGAAGGCCUUCGGGUUGUAAAGCCCUUUUGUUGGGAAAGAAAAGCAGCAAGUUAAUACCCCGCUGUUCUGACGUUACCCAAAGAAUAAGCACCGGCUAACUUCGUG